Molecule: ribosomal RNA, 836 nt
Filed under: Streptomyces sp. IM-6989
Lineage: Bacteria; Bacillati; Actinomycetota; Actinomycetes; Kitasatosporales; Streptomycetaceae
Description: bacterial SSU rRNA
Rfam family: Bacterial small subunit ribosomal RNA
Source: RNAcentral
GGCGGCGUGCUUAACACAUGCAAGUCGAACGAUGAACCACUUCGGUGGGGAUUAGUGGCGAACGGGUGAGUAACACGUGGGCAAUCUGCCCUUCACUCUGGGACAAGCCCUGGAAACGGGGUCUAAUACCGGAUAUCACCCUCACGGGCAUCUGUGAGGGUUGAAAGCUCCGGCGGUGAAGGAUGAGCCCGCGGCCUAUCAGCUUGUUGGUGAGGUAACGGCUCACCAAGGCGACGACGGGUAGCCGGCCUGAGAGGGCGACCGGCCACACUGGGACUGAGACACGGCCCAGACUCCUACGGGAGGCAGCAGUGGGGAAUAUUGCACAAUGGGCGAAAGCCUGAUGCAGCGACGCCGCGUGAGGGAUGACGGCCUUCGGGUUGUAAACCUCUUUCAGCAGGGAAGAAGCGCAAGUGACGGUACCUGCAGAAGAAGCGCCGGCUAACUACGUGCCAGCAGCCGCGGUAAUACGUAGGGCGCAAGCGUUGUCCGGAAUUAUUGGGCGUAAAGAGCUCGUAGGCGGCUUGUCACGUCGGAUGUGAAAGCCCGGGGCUUAACCCCGGGUCUGCAUUCGAUACGGGCUAGCUAGAGUGUGGUAGGGGAGAUCGGAAUUCCUGGUGUAGCGGUGAAAUGCGCAGAUAUCAGGAGGAACACCGGUGGCGAAGGCGGAUCUCUGGGCCAUUACUGACGCUGAGGAGCGAAAGCGUGGGGAGCGAACAGGAUUAGAUACCCUGGUAGUCCACGCCGUAAACGGUGGGAACUAGGUGUUGGCGACAUUCCACGUCGUCGGUGCCGCAGCUAACGCAUUAAGUUCCCCGCCUGGGGAGUACGGCCGC